This 380-nucleotide ribosomal RNA is filed under the name uncultured Glomus. RNAcentral describes it as "partial 18S ribosomal RNA". Lineage: Eukaryota; Fungi; Glomeromycota; Glomeromycetes; Glomerales; Glomeraceae. The record is from RNAcentral.
CGUAAGGCGCCGAAUGAGUCAUUAAAAAAUUAACAUCAUCCGAUCCCUAGUCGGCAUAGUUUAUGGUUAAGACUACGACGGUAUCUGAUCGUCUUCGAUCCCCUAACUUUCGUUCUUGAUUAAUGAAAACAUCCUUGGCAAAUGCUUUCGCAGUAGUUAGUCUUCAAUAAAUCCAAGAAUUUCACCUCUGACAAUUGAAUACUAAUGCCCCCAACUAUCCCUAUUAAUCAUUACGUCGAUCCUAAGAAACCAACUAAAAUAGGUUCAAACGUCCUAUUUCAUUAUUCCAUGCUAAUGUAUUCAAGCGUAAGCCUGCUUUAAACACUCUAAUUUUUCAAGGUAACAGUCCUGAUUCCUUGCAACACCAAAUUAAUGGCAUC